CGGCCAGCUGCCUCUCUACGGCAUGACAAUCAGGGAGAGUGAGGAUGAGUGGGGAGUUCCUCCUUUUUCACUCUGUUUGGUCAGCGCCAGUCUGUCGUCGUGGCAGCAAGCUGUGUAUCAGAGAUGGUGAAAUGGAUGGAGGACAUCAGGAUGGCUGUAGUCCUGGUAGAACAGAGUAACAGACCUUCUACUGA
This is a long non-coding RNA of Oncorhynchus masou masou (cherry salmon), 194 nucleotides long. RefSeq lists it as uncharacterized. The record is from RefSeq and is a predicted model, not a curated record. The transcript is spliced from 3 exons. NCBI's taxonomy places the organism in Eukaryota, Metazoa, Chordata, Actinopteri, Salmoniformes, Salmonidae.